This 164-nucleotide ribosomal RNA is filed under the name uncultured bacterium. Its description in RNAcentral is "partial 16S rRNA". It matches the Rfam family "Bacterial small subunit ribosomal RNA", at positions 355 to 511 of the family's 1533-position model. The record is from RNAcentral.
UAGGGAAUCUUCCACAAUGGACGAAAGUCUGAUGGAGCAACGCCGCGUGAGNGAAGAAGGUUUUCGGAUCGUAAAGCUCUGUUGUUGGUGAAGAAGGAUAGAGGCAGUAACUGGUCUUUAUUUGACGGUAAUCAACCAGAAAGUCACGGCUAACUACGUGCCAG